Cyprinus carpio carpio is the source of this 1329-nucleotide long non-coding RNA. NCBI's taxonomy places the organism in Eukaryota, Metazoa, Chordata, Actinopteri, Cypriniformes, Cyprinidae. The record is from Ensembl.
UGCGGCUCAUUUGAGGACGGAAUACGGCGAAAUAAAGUGUUUAAUCUUACUUAUAAAAUGUGUUUUGUAUUAUCAUAUCGUUUUAUAACGACAUUUAUUUGCUGUGUGCACAUAAACUUUUCUCAAGGACAUUUCCUUUCACUCACGAUGCGGAACAGACGAGGACGUCAUUUAUUUUCUAUAUAGGAAAUCUAAAAAAGAGAUAUUUUCUUCCACUCACGAUGGGGAGAAUAUGGGGAAUCUGUUUUUUAUCAAAGGAAAACACCAUAAAUUUUAAUCGCUGUGCAGUGCAGACCAUGGUGCAGACGCGGUUAGUUAGAGAAGGGAGAGAGCAGAAAGAGAUAUUGUCUUUCACUCGCGAAGGAAAACACAGAAAACAGAGCCCUGCCUCAGCACAGUGAGAUCAGCAUGGAAUUCAGGAAUCACAACCUAUUUUCCAAAGCACUUUUGUGAUGCUGCAAGUGGAUGCUCUGCUUAGUUGAAAACUGCAGAGAACCACGUCUUGUCCUGAAAAAAAGAAAGAGACUACUUUCUCCAAGGAGGUCCAAACGCCACUGGCACAGACUGCGUUCAGCGAUUAAUCGAAAUCGUAAUAAAAUCAAGAUUUGAGCGUGCACGAUUUCUAAAUCGCUUUAUAGCACGAUUUUCCGCGGGCCCGACCUCCCGCAGUAUGCUAUCCAAUCCAAUCAGAAUGCAGCGCACCUAAGUGGAGCGAGAGAACAGAACAGACUGGACAUAUGCCUAACUCCAGGUUCACACACUCUGUCUUUGAUGCAUAUUUUUUCCGCGCCCAUGUUAAUGGAUCAGAGUGUUCACACUGCACAUGGUAAAAGAUGUGAACAGAAAAGGUUAGAAAUAGAAAGGUGCGAAAAGAAUGAAUAUCUAGCGCAUGAGCAUAGAGAGAGUUGUGAGUGAGUGAGUGAGUGAGUGAGAGGAGACGUUUUAAUUGCGCGGACGACAGCAGCGUGUAUCUGAGCAUCGCGUCUGGUUUUGUGACAAAGCAAAGGCGAGCGGAGAGAUUCGCGCAUUAUUUUAAUGUGCUUUCACGUUACAAUAACUCGCUCUCGCUGCUGCUUCUGCACCGCAUACACAUACUGUAUACGCACUGCAGAUGGAGUACGUGUAAACCUGUAUAAUGUAUAACAAAUCUAUUUCAACACCUGAGGCACCGCUACAAUGAGCUCUAUGACCAAUGCAUGGCAAAAAAAAAAAAAGCCCUGGACACAGGUUUUUUUUUUCUUUUUUUUUUUGCCAUAUGUCUAGACAUUUUGUUUGACAUCUUUACUUAGUGAUUAUUUUGACUUAUGUCUGUUCUAGAGGCAUGUUACA